Molecule: long non-coding RNA, 204 nt
Filed under: Lathyrus oleraceus (garden pea)
Lineage: Eukaryota; Viridiplantae; Streptophyta; Magnoliopsida; Fabales; Fabaceae
Description: Pisum sativum (pea) long non-coding RNA (PSAT_LNC007615)
Source: RNAcentral
UUACACAACAUAUCCAUCACAAUUUUCAGCAUUCGACAAUCCCAAUUAGGGUCAAUUCAACGGUUUAUCACUACCCAUUACAUGCUAACCCAUAAUACCCAUUAAACGACGAUAACCCCCCUUACCUGAGUUAAUCCGGCAAUCUCUAAGCUCCAAGCUCUUCUCUUCUCCAAUCUUCUUCCUCUUGCUCUGCCUCUUUGCCCU